RNAcentral lists this ribosomal RNA (465 nucleotides) under uncultured bacterium. Its description in RNAcentral is "partial 16S ribosomal RNA". It matches the Rfam family "Bacterial small subunit ribosomal RNA", at positions 338 to 795 of the family's 1533-position model. The record is from RNAcentral.
CCUACGGGGGGCAGCAGUGGGGAAUAUUGCGCAAUGGGCGAAAGCCUGACGCAGCGACGCCGCGUGAGGGAUGAAGGUCUUCGGAUCGUAAACCUCUGUCAGCAGGGAAGAACGGUCACUGUGCUAAUCAGCAGUGACUUGACGGUACCUGCAAAGGAAGCACCGGCUAACUCCGUGCCAGCAGCCGCGGUAAUACGGAGGGUGCGAGCGUUAAUCGGAAUUACUGGGCGUAAAGCGCUCGUAGGCGGUAUGUCAAGUCAAGGGUGAAAUCCCCGCGCUCAACGUGGGAACUGCCUUUGAAACUGGCAAACUGGAGUGUGUGAGAGGAGAGUGGAAUUCCAGGUGUAGGAGUGAAAUCCGUAGAUAUAUGGAGGAACAUCAGUGGCGAAGGCGACUAUCUGGCACAUAACUGACGCUGAGGAGCGAAAGCGUGGGUAGCAAACAGGAUUAGAUACCCUUGUAGUC